GGGGGGGGACUGGAGAAGGAGAGGGGGAGGGCGAGAGGCAGUACAAAGAGAAUGGUACAGUAGAGACAUUCCUUACCAAGUCAGCUUUAAUAGCAUAGAGAGGACCACACACACACACACACACACACACAACGUAUCUGGAUGGAUAGAAGCAGCCUUCUGUACGGCCUAAUCAGGAAGCCCCAGUAGAACCUCAUCCAGGGGCUCGCCUGAGAAAUCCUCCCCAACGUUAGAGGCUUAGAGGGGGGAGAUUCAUUCCCCGUGGUCCCACACCACCCUUCAAGUUUCCAGUUUGAAUGUCAUGUGCACAAGUCCAGUGGAAUGCCCUUUCUUCCCAGCUCUAACCCCGACAACGCAGUAAUCAAUAUCACAUCCAUACAAAAAUAACAAGGUAGAACAAAAACACCCAAGAAAUAAGAAUAAUCUAUAUACAGGGUCAGUUCAGUACCAUAUUAACAAUGUGCAGGGAUACUGGAGUGAUGGAGGUAGAUAUGUAUAGUGAUGGAGGUAGAUAUGUAUAGGGGGAAGGGGCCAGGGAUACUGGAGUGAUGGAGGUAGAUAUGUAUAGUGAUGGAGGUAGAUAUGUAUAGGGGGAAGGAGACAGGGAUACUGGAGUGAUGGAGGUAGAUAUGGAUGUCUAUUUAAAACAGAUUGUUAUAUACAAGCAUUUCACUACACCCACAAUAACAUCUACUAAACACUUGUCUGUGACCAAUGAAAUUGUAUUUGAUUUAUUUAUAGGGGUAAGGGGACUAGGCAUCAGGAUAUAUGAUAAACCUAUUCCCCCUCAGGAAACUAAAAAGAUUUGGCAUGGGUCCUGAGAUCCUCAAAAGGUUCUACAGCUGCACCAUCGAGAGCAUCCUGGUUGCAUCACUGCCUCGUAUGGCAACUGCUCAGCCUCUGACCGCAAGGCAUUACAGAGGGUAGUGCGUACGGCCCAGUACAUCACCAGGGUCAAAACUCCUGCCAUCCACGACCUCUAUACCAGGCGGUGUCAGAGGAAGGCCCUAAAAAUUGUCAAAGACCCCAGGUACCCCAGUCAUAGACUGUUCUCUCUACUACCGCAUGGCAAGCGGUAUCGGUGCGCCAAGUCUAGGACAAAAAAGCUUCUCAACCAUUUUUAACCCCAAGACUCCUGAACAGGUAAUCAAAUGGACUAUUUGCAUUGUGUGUUAACAAAAAAAGGCUGUGAAAAAAAUGGCAUUGUUGUUUAUCUACUUGAUCGUACACAACAUUUAAUUAAAAUUGUUUCAAAGAAACAAAAACGCCAUGAAGAAAUCGGUAUUUUAUUCAAAAGCAUGUCACAAUUAUUGAAACCCCUGAAUU
Molecule: long non-coding RNA, 1326 nt
Organism: Oncorhynchus tshawytscha (Chinook salmon)
Lineage: Eukaryota; Metazoa; Chordata; Actinopteri; Salmoniformes; Salmonidae
Source: Ensembl